GCUGAAGUAGGUCCCAAGGGUAUGGCUGUUCGCCAUUUAAAGUGGUACGCGAGCUGGGUUUAGAACGUCGUGAGACAGUUCGGUCCCUAUCUGCCGUGGGCGCUGGAGAACUGAGGGGGGCUGCUCCUAGUACGAGAGGACCGGAGUGGACGCAUCACUGGUGUUCGGGUUGUCAUGCCAAUGGCACUGCCCGGUAGCUAAAUGCGGAAGAGAUAAGUGCUGAAAGCAUCUAAGCACGAAACUUGCCCCGAGAUGAGUUCUCCCUGAGACUUUAAGUCUCCUGAAGGAACGUUGAAGACGACGACGUUGAUAGGCCGGGUGUGUAAGCGCAGCGAUGCGUUGAGCUAACCGGUACUAAUGAACCGUGAGGCUUAACCUUACAACGCCGAAG
Molecule: ribosomal RNA, 391 nt
Filed under: Salmonella enterica subsp. enterica serovar Paratyphi B
Lineage: Bacteria; Pseudomonadati; Pseudomonadota; Gammaproteobacteria; Enterobacterales; Enterobacteriaceae
Description: bacterial LSU rRNA
Rfam family: Bacterial large subunit ribosomal RNA
Source: RNAcentral